CUAAUGAGUGAAUUGUUUACCUGAGUACUGGGAGUGUCUCAGUAGGUGAUAAUCAUCCCUGAAGAGAGGGGUGUGGGAGCCUUUGGUUUGUAGCCAAUCAAUCAGAAACACGGGUAAUGACCUGUACUGGCAUCUGGGGUUUCAAGCUGGGAGUGUGAGGCCAUCUAUGGAAUUGAUCCCUGUGGGAUCUGAUGCCAUCUCCAGGUAGACAGUGUCAGUAUGGAGUUAAGUUGUCGGACACCCAGUUGUGUCUGCAGAGAACUGGGGAGUUGUUUGUGUGGAAAAGCCCACAUUUCUGGUGUCAGAAGUAGAGUAUCAAGAGUGAUAAGGAAAUGUGUAACUGUAGAAAGAAAAAGGGCCUUUCCCUGUUCAUUUACGACAGGGAGGAAGUGGAAGGUGGCAGGACAGGGGGAAGCCCCUUCCCGGGCCUUCCCUGAAGGCUGCUGUGCCUCCUGUACUCACGGUAGAAACCCGGAGAGAGAUGAGUUUCCACAGACCCUUCCGGUCCUGGUUUCCUCACCUGUGAGAGUGACUGCCUUCUGGGGUUCGUUAGGGUUUAGAACCAGAUGUCCCCAGAGCAUCAGACACUCACAGAUGGGGCUUUUGGGCCACGGUUGGAUCACGAGCACCUAGCUGACUUGUUGUCAGGAGAUGGGUCGGUCCCUGGAAGGUCCGCCUCCCUCCCCAGCUCCUCCUUUGACCCACUGCUUCCUGGCCGCCAUGCUACGAGCAGUGCUCCUCCGCCAGGCCCCUCUGUCAGGCCGCCCUGCCUUCGAGCCAGCAGCUGGGAACGGAAACCGCUACAGACGACAUCAGUUUGGAGCUGAGGGGCCCAGUGACCAUUCCAUCUACUAUAAGGAGUCUGGGAACACAGCUGGCACAAAGGUGAGCAGAAGAGAGCAAGAGGGAGAGAGACCCUGAGCCUCCUGAAUCCUCAUACCUUUAAUAUCUUCAGUUACACGAGCUAAUACAUUUCCCCCUGCACUUAUUCACCUUGACUCGAGUGUCUGUCACUUGCAACCCUAAGAAUCCUGGACACUUUGGUCAUGAUUUCUUGAAGGCCAACUCUGUGGGGUGGUAGUGAUUUUGAUGGCCAUGGUGGACAUUAAUAGCAUGUGGGAGGGAAUGCAGGAAGAGGGAAUAAAGACAGCAGUGCAGGCAGAAGUGAUAAGUAAGUGUCUUUUCUGUUACUCCUCUACUCAAUAAAGCUGGUUCUCUAAGUUGGGCUCAAGGGUGGUAGAAGCCUGGCAAAUUGGAAGAAGGUGAAACUUUGAGCUAGGAGAAGUGGUCCUUUAGGAAGAGCGAACUCUCAGGAAGGCUUGAAGCCUUACGAGAGGAAGGGGCUGGAACUGGAGGGACACAGUUGAAUCUUGGUCUGGUCCCAAGGAUCAGGAAGGAAGGCUUAUACAAUCUAUUGUGUGCUGUUGCUAUGGUGAUUAGAGGAACUAAUGGAAACACCAUGCUGAUGAACAGGGAAGGACAGAGGGUGGGUUAUAAGGGAAACCACAGAAACUUCUGGGUUAGGAUUCACUUAAAGAAAGAGUAGAGGUGCAGAGGUUUGACUCAGGCAUGGGAGAGCUGUAAGAGGGCAGAUGUGUAGUGUGUACGUAGCACGUGUUCUCUGGUCCUUGGGAAACAAGCACUAGCGAUAAAGAGGAGGGAGUUGUGUCUGACAGUGGUGGGAGACCAUGGCUGAUGGUGAUAGGGCAGGGGUCUCGAGGUGGCUUUAGGGGCAUCAGAGAGAAUGGGGCAGAAGUGAAGAGUGCGGAGGAUCUGUUCUUGAGCGGACUUGCGAUCCCCUGGUAACUCCAGGAAGGCAGAAGGACGGUGGGGGGGACAGAGCCCUAGAGCCCUGUGUAGCAGGAUUGGGAUGAGAAACACUGAAGGAGCUUCUCCUCAGCCUCCUCUGAUUCGCUCUUGGCUCUUCCUUCACUGUGUCCCAGCCUCUCUUUAACAUGUUCACAGUGGAGCUGUCAUUUGUAUUCUCACCACCAGGCAGCUUGAGCCUGCGGGCACCUGCAUGACUGUCCCAUGCGUGAUUGUCCCACUUCUACACUUGUGGUACGAGUCGCUGAUGGUGGGACAAUCUUGCCGAUACCAUGGGGGUUCGAGCUGGCGAGAACGUGUGGCCCCUUUCCUCCAGCUGGCUCUCCCAUGAGCCGCCUCCGUGAACACACCAAGGUCUGCAGAGCGCUGAGUCAGAUGCCUUGGCAGGCCCAGGUUGGAAAAUUAGAUAUUUAUCGCCAACUGGGAAAACAAUUCUUCUGCAAUCCCCUCAGGCACUGGGUGAUUAUGUAGAUGCUGGCUCACAAGACACAGAUGACACUUCGGUCUUGGGGAUCUUUGAUUCCCGAAACCACUCUCUCUGAUGGGGAGGGAGUGCAUGCCUCACUCGGAGCAGCUGGAGAACCGGCUCUCUGAAAUGGCCAGAACUCGGCAAUUCCAGGGCAGGCUCAGGCUCAAGCUCAUGCUGAAAGGCUGGUGUGGAGGACCUGAGGCUCCUGCUGGUUCUGUGGGUGGAUCUGUGGGGUUUUCAUAUGGUUCCCGCAUGGCUUCACAGGCCACUUCUUCACCGGACAGAGACUGCACCUGGAACUGUCCUCAAAUACUUGCGUGUUAGUGGGUGAUAAUGACUGUGUGGCCCACAGUCAACCUUCAGACUGGUGAUGUAGAUGUGACAUUAUCAUCUGUUUCUGUGACCUGGCAAGAGCGUGGGAGGUGACAUUCCUGGGAGUCAUCUGAAGAAUUAAGGGGGUCUCAUCUCUGCCCCAAAUGCUAGGGGCUGGGCUGGAAAGAUGACCACUCAGCUGGAUGUCUGGGUCUGUGGAUCUUACACCAAUCAGUUAUGAGCUUUGGAGAUGGAGAAUCCUUUCUCUUGUGUCUCGGAUGUGGUACAGAGAGAGGCUGAGACCCUAAGCCACUCCUGUUCCUUGCUGGAGUGUGUUUAACACCUUGGCAAAGACAGCCGUUUACACUGUGCCCGGCAUGGAGCCAGCCUCCAGUAAAUAUCAGACCAUGUUUUUUCACAUUACACGUUUUGUGGGCUCAGGCCCCAGCGGGAGAAACUGGAGCACUGGAUUUGGAAGCCUCGAUGUGAAUGUGGACUUGGGCACUCUGAACAGGUCCCUGAGCCAUCUUGGACUGUGGACGCUCGCUCUGUGUAGGGCUGUAGUGCCAGUGCCAAGGGAGGAUGCUUCCCCGAAGGCAAGCGCUUCGUUUAGGGAAGAAACGGGAGGGGGCUGUGCCGUACUGAGCAUGAGGAGCCCCAGUAUCCUGUCUAACGUCGUGCAGCUUUUCUGACACCAACUCUCAAACUGGUGAGCAGAGGGUUUUAAGCGCGCAGACGCAGAUGCAGAUGCAGAGCCUUGAUUCUGUCCUCUGAGAAGUCCAGCAAGGCCCCUCUGCCGAUCGAUUUGCUUCCACUGGGGAUGGUGGGGAGGAAGAUGGGAUGCCACCUACUUUCUGUGGGCUGGGCUGGGCCUCAUUAGUUGGGGAUAUUUGUGUACAGGGCUGUCCUGUGUCUUCUCGGGUCAGGAAUCAUUUUCUUUCCUUGGUUUUAGAGGUGUUGCUGGAGAAAGAAGAGGAGGCUGGUGAGAAAGGAGAGUGGAUGGGGUUGGGAGGGCUGAAGGAUGCAGGAGACACCCAGACUAAAACGCAUUUGGCGGUCAGCAGGACUUCGGAUAGAGGAAUGAUAAGGGAGAUUGUUUACUGAAUCGAGCCCCUUCGGCGUUCCUUUAAGAAUAUGCUCCUUGUUAUAAUCCAAUUUUAUUUUUUAAAGUCCAUUUUACCAUUUUUCUAUCCCAUAGAAGCAAAUCCCUCCUCGAUGGUAUGUAAUUUUGGGGAAUUUGGAACACAAGCACAUCUCUCAAAGGUUGUGUCUCAAUGUUUUAUGCUGGUCUGGUGCCACCCACUCCUGGAGCUUGUGGUGAGAUGGAAACAAGGUUUUAUUGUGGGCUGGGAGGCCCGCAGUCUUUCCUAAGUUUGCUUUUAUUUUGCUCUACAUCCUUGGGCAGCUACUUUCCUUCUCUGGUCCUCAGUUUCCCCCUUUUUAAAUCUAAAAGCAUGACAAAGCGGAUGUGGUUCAAAUUUAUAAAAGAAUUAUUUCUAUGGAAUACAAAUGGAUUCUUUCGUGGAGGUGAACAUGCUUUUGUGGAAUCCAGUGCAUAGACGGUAAAAGCUGCCCGGGUCUGUGUCAGCGUCCCCGGGGUGACCCUAACAACUCCAUGUUUCUAUGGAUCUCAACUUGGAAACUGCAGAAGAGGAUCUUCAGCCUUGUGCUGAGCGUUGUCAUUGCACAGACAAGUGUCGCAUAGUAGAUACGAAGCCCUGGUGGAGGAGAUCUGGACAGGUUCGGGACUGGGCUGGGGCCUUCCUGGAGCUAAGUGGAGGCAGGAGUGGAAACUGUCUUAGGGAGGAUGGCCAGGCGGCUUCCUGUGACACACUAGAGGAAGCUGCCCAGGGACCUCGUGGAGGAGAUUAGAGCCUCGCGCUCUGGCCGGCAUCAGGCUGGAGGUGACCGGAAAUGGCAGGCAGGCUGGGAUCGGGGUAUGGCUGCCUUUACCUCGCCAGGGACAUUUCAGAGAAACGCCUCGGGGAGUCCUACUUACUGCUUCUCCUCUGAAUGCAUAGAUGUACGUGCUUGUGCCUUUUGGAACAAAUCAAACCACCUUUGGGGUGAGUGGAGAAUAUUUCUAUGUCCCUUUCUGCCAGGACAAAUGUCACCUGGCUUUGGGAGUCCAGUCUACUGAGGGCCCUCCGGACAGUGGCCGCUCCUACACUGGUGGCCUCACCUUUACCUUGGCCAAUUUCAGCCCAGUAACUGGAGAUUAUGUUACGUGGCAUGGUGGAAGAGACUUUGCAGAUGGGAUUAGGUUAAGGGCCUUGAGAUAAUGAGGAGGGAUUAUACCGAAUGCUCUGAUAUAUCCUAGGUGGCUGGAUGCACUCCCUGGGCCUCUAAAGGAAAGAAGCAGGGAGGAGGUGCGUGGCGGUAGAAGCAGAGACUGGAGUGAUGCAUUUUUGGUGCAUUGAGGAAACAAACACAGGAGGUCACCAAUCAGGUGACUCAGCCACGGACCCACAUGCUGAAGCAGAAGCCUGGGUCCAUUCUAAGGAGGUGGCCAAGGCCACAGUGGAGGAGCACAGGUGACCACCAGAAGCUGGAGAAGCCAAGGAAACGAAUUUGUCUCCUUUCCUUCCUUUCCCUCUCAAGGAGAGAGACUGUGCCUGCAGACAUCUGCCUCUGGUCAGCCCUGUUCCCGAGAAGCCUGGGGAGGAGAGGCAUUCAUGGCGCUCAGUACUUUCCGAAGCAAACUGGGAUUCUGCUGGUGGGGAGAGAGGUGAAGAAUGGUGCGAAUGCACUUGCAUCUGCCGAAGCGCUCAGAGACGUUUGCCAGAGGCCUCGAGGGACACUGGAGGCGGGGAAACUGGAUCAGGGCACAGAGCUGAACCUGGGUCCCUGUGCGGUCUGACUCGGGCAGCUUGGUGGUGGAGCAGGACGUGGAACACGGGGUGGUUUGGGGUCUUCUGGGUCCAGGAGCCUGUGGUCCAGUCGCUCCUCCUGCAGCUUCUCCGGCUGCUCUGCUGGGAAGCAGUGAUGUGCCAGACCCCCCGGGGCAGAUCUGCUCUUUCCCCUCCUCACCCCUUUCUCUCUGGGCCAACGUUCCCAGGGUCAAACCUGCAGCCUCCAGCCUGGGGCCUCUGCUCCUGGAUCUGUGGCAAAGGCCUUGCUGUACAUGGUCAGUUUGUUCUUCGUAGGGCAGAAGGAAAAGCUUCCGUGUGUGGUGCUCUGUGUUCCAAGCCACAGCCCGGGCUUCUCUGCUUCAGAUGCUGGGUCCCUCUGCAUGGGUGACCACGUGGGGACCCGAGGGCCGGGGAGUCGUGGGGUCCACGUUAGGAAGGGCCUGGGUUUCCACAUCUCCAUGCAGAACGGUGACAUGGGUGACAGCAGUAACCUCCCUGUGUCCCUCUUGGGGAGCUGGGCUGUCUGCUCCAGCAUGUGCCAUCCUUGACACUGAACCAGCACAGUCUGCUUGCCUUCCUCCCACAGGAAGUCCUGUGUCGAGGUUUACAGAAGCCUUCGGAAUAAGGCUAAGUUCACAACUUCCGCUAAUUGGCUGUGUGACUUGGGGUACGUUACUUCGCUUCUCUGUACCCUGAAAACAUAAUAAUGUCAGAUAAUGAACCAAACCAACUGCAUUCUGCAUACUGUUGUGGGGGUCGAAGGGAAGACCUAUGUACUGCGCUUGGGUAGUUGUGUCUGGUCCAUAGUAAACAUGGUGUAAGAAUGGCCUGUUACUGUUCCCAUCCACCUCACCCUUCAGCCACUCCAGUACCCCAGCAUGGGGCCAGCCAGAGCCAAGGUGUUGAUUUGAUUCCUCUUGGCUCUUUCUCCUCUUGGCAUUUUCUCAGGGACGAUGGUGACUGCACCCACACCAGCAUUUUGCAAUAGAGCACUGUAGUCUGCUUGUACUUCUACAGAGCUUUGUUUCACUUUCUGCUGUUUCUCUAUUUGGAGUGGAAGCCUUUUGAAAGCAGAGACCGACAGAUAACUAUUGAUUCCUAACUAAGCAGUGUCGGGUUGAGAGUGAGGAGCGAUGAGACUUGUACUGUAGGAGGUAGAAAUGUUUGGACCCCAAGAUGGCACCAUGCCUGCCCAUCUCCAGACCACAGGGGACCUGAGCAAGAGCAGUAAAGAACACAAGGCCUGGGAUUUAGCUCAGUGGUUUCGUCACCUGCUGCGCAAGCUCCAGGACCCGAGUUCGAUCCCAGGUACCAAAAAAAUAAAAGAACACAAAACACAGCCACGGCCCCGCAUCCUAGCAUGGAACAGCAUCUGACUGACUGUUCGGAAGUUUUGGUUGCUGCCAUGUGCGUAUCUUAGAUGCUGAUGUGAUUAUCCUAGCUAGUAUUUAUGAAGCACUAUGCUGCAAUUUCUUCUUCAAUGCUCACACCACUUGUGGGUGCCAUUAUUUUUCUCACUUUGCAGCAUCGAAGAGGCUGAGUGACAUACUUCAUGUCACACAAUUAAGAAGCCUACGAUCCGACUUCACGCAGGGAUCUGGGGACAGGGGCACAGGGGAGUCCUCGACAGGUGUUUGUGCAGAGGCAAAUGGCGGGGAGGCUUUGAAGAAAACUGCACAAGAUUUGCAGAGACCUUUGAGGGUCUGGUGUGGCCUCCAGAUGGCAUCUGCCAUCACAGGGCCUGGGGCACAAUCUCUGCAAGGCUCAGAAAGAACAUCUGCACUUCAAUAACAAAAUCCUUGGAAAAAAUCAUGUUGCAAAAGGAAAUCUUGACAUGGUUCCACCGUGGCGUGGUCGGGGGAGACAGGGGAGCCUGAAGUCCUCCGGUAAACUGCUUAGAGUCUGCAGGGCUGCUUCCCUUCCUUCUUGAUGUGUGUGAAAGACAGAGCAAGUAAUCCCUUUUCUCAAACUUCUGCUCACCCCGAGAACUUGACUCUGAGAGAAGAGGAAGAAUUGGGUGAGGUGCAGUCGGACUGCACACUCAGGAUGAGGGUCUCUGCUUAGCACCCGGUGGGCUCUGUGGUCCAUGUGGAACAGUCUUGUGCAAGGGAUUGUGCUGUGGUGUUCAGUUCCCUACACAUGUGAUCAAACAUUCCUUCAACAUCCAUCAGAGUCAAGAGCCGAAAUGGUCUCACUUCAGUUGGAUAUAAAAAUCUCUAUGUAAUGGAAUACUACUCAGCUAUAAGGAAGGAUAAACUUGAGACUUUCUUAGGAAAAUCGAUAUCCCUUGAAAAUACAAUGUUGAGUGAAAUAAAUCAGACACACAAGCUUAAAUACCAUACGAUAGCUCUCAUGUGAGUAAGGCAAAGCACAAAUAAACAGCAAAAUAAAAGAUGAGUAGAAGAAAACAAGAGGAUCAAAUGGGAAAGGGUCCAGGAGACCAACAGCAAAGGGAGAGGAGAGAAGCAGGGGAAGAAAGAUUUAAGAUAUGUGUGUACAGGUACCAAAUACCCACCAUGAACAUUACAAACAUUAUGUGUCAUAAACAUGAGCUGAGAAUAACAGUAACAAAAAUGAAAACAGGAAGAAGAGAUUUAGACUUUAAACUACAAAUCAAGGGAAGGAGGAGGUGGGGAAGGGAAGAGGUUAAAAAAAGAAACAAGUUUGUGAUGCAUAUGUACCCACUCCCUAAGUUGAAUGCAAACCUCACACUGCAAAGAGGUACUAAUAAAGUAAAAAUUAAAAUAAAAGCUCUGUUUAUCUCAGGUUUGACCAAGAAUUAAGUAUCUGUGCUGGAAAAUAAAGGAGAGAGGAAGGGAGGGAAAAAACAUAGAAUCACCUAUAAAAGAUAAGUUUUACUUUAUAUUUCAUAAAUAACAUUUUAAAUGCACACACACAGGCCUAUAAGAAAUCAAGAAACCAACACACUUCUAUUAUUUUUGAUACUGUAAGUGUAUAGUUUAGCCUGAUUAUGUCAGUGAGAAACUUAUUUUCUAAAGUCUUGUAUAACUCGCUAUAGGGUACAUUUUAAUUUUUCUUGCUUUGGUUGAUGAUUUCAACAUCAACAUUUCAAGUAUUCAACAGCAUCAGUACAUUUUUAUGCUUUAAGUAGCACCCAAAAGUAUAAUUUACAACUUUUAUUUAAAUUAAAUAUAGCAAGCCUACCUUUAGAAAAAUUAAAUUUCAUUUUGUCUUGAGGCCGAUGCUUAACAGAAAUGUAUUGUGAUUUCCUUAUGAGUUUUAAAAAUCAAUGGAAAGGAAAAAUUAAUGCCAACAUGUAAGUGUAAUUCAAUAAAGUAUGACUAGAAAUAGGAUUUUUAGUUUUAAAUGAGGAAAAUUAAAUCCCUACUCUUGUAUAUGUCAUAUAGCACACACUAUUAAUAUCUUGUGUAGUAGAAAUUUAAGAAUUUUAGUAUUGCUUAAAUAAAUUAAAAAUUUAAAUGGAAAGUUAAAAAAGAGGAGAGAUUAAAAUUUCUAAAUAACUAUACUCCUGACCUGCAUUAGAAUUGAUAUUCUUUAUGGAAAGGGAGGAAUCUCAGGAGAGGAUUAAUAGUGUUAGGGUUUGUGUCCAGAUGUCCCCCCAGAGUCUCAUGUGGUCAUAGGUGGGGCUUUUUCAGAGGUGGCUGGAUCUAGAGUGUGUGAUGCUGGAACUGAUUCAUGGUGCAAUGGUAGCAUCAAGGGCACUAGGAAUAAGGGUGUGAGUGUUACCUGCCCUAAAUAGCCUGGAUAAAAUAUAAGGGAUAGAAAGAGCUGUAGUUGUCCUUGUUGCUUUGGUGCCUUCUGCCUACCAUGAACUGUUUCUCUUCUGCAAUGCCCCUCUGCCAUACCGCCCUGCCUUGGAGCCAGCUGGUUAUGGACUGAAACCUCUAAACACUGUGAGCUAAAUAAACCUUUCCCCCUUUAACUUUGGGUGUUGGAUAUUUUGUCUCAGCAAUGAGAGAAAAAUAACUAAGACAAAUAGGUAGGUCAAACAGAAAAUGGAAUAGAAUCAACAGCAACAAAACAGAGUCACAGAAAAUAUUCUACCUCCAAAUAGCAAUGACAACAAAUUAUUAUUGGACUCUGAGAUCUACAAGUUACUAAUUAUGCAAAUAUACCAGGAAUUGCAGACAUAAUACUUUUUAGGUUCUUUGAGGCCUGAAAAUUAUUUCAAGGGUUAGGAAGGUAGUCUAGAAGCUCUCUGGUUCAGUUUUACAAGAGCUGGUGCUCACUGCUUCCACUCACAGGACAGAGGGUAGGUAGUGACUCCAGUAUCCAGAGCUCCUUUUCCAUGGAUGCCCUGCCAGCCCCAUUUCCGGUCUAGGCUCACUUUCUGACUCCUCCACUUUCUAUUUCCUGGGAACCUUCAGGGCUCUAGGCAUGAACUGGCUUGCCUCUCAUUGGCUCCUGUCUCUGCCAAUACACCCUUGAGUGCUCUUCAUUGGUUGCUUUCUCUGUCAAUACCCUUGGCUGCUGCUUAUUGACUACUGACUCUAUCAUUGGCUAAUUUCCCAUAGCUGGGAUGGGUGGGAUCCCUGCAGAAAAUCACCAAAAUGGAUGAUGUUGCAUUUCUCAGUUGCCUCUCACUCGCUCUGAGCCAGGGCUGGCCAUCGUGCUCUCCUCUUCUCUGUCCCUCUUUUCUUAGACUUCACCCUCUCCCAGCUUCCUGGGUCCAUUCCAGCCCCUCAUCCCCACCCCUUCCCCCAACUCACCAGUGCCCUAGUAUUUAUUUAUGGAGUGGCUUAUCUUACUUGAGGAUGAUCCAGGUCCCCUCCCUCUCAGAAGCCUUAUUCAUCACUUCUGCUACAAGUCCUGGGUGGAUUAUACUGUACUAAUAGAUGGCGACUCACACGGACCACACAGUCAUACAGCCCCAGAGCACUUGGGAAUGGAGGUAGGAAUGCCCUGACUCCAGCUGGUGUGGGCCCCUGGUCACCAAUUGCAACAGUUGCCUUCAGGUGACUGUGCUGGUGAUGGCAGGUGAUCUGUUAUUUGCAGUCCCAGCAUACAGAUUGCUUAUGUAAGUUCCCACAUUGGAUGCCAAGUGGAUAUUUCCUGUUUUGCAGAUGAAGAAAUGGAAGCUCAGAAGGGUCAGGUGACUCCUCAGGUCAUAGGUGGUGGAGCAGAGACUGGAAGGGAAGUGUCCAAGGCCAUGCUUUUCCUACUGCCCAUUGCCUGUACUUGGUUUCAAGCAAGAAGAUUUUUUGUCUUCCUAUCCAUUAUAUUUCUAUUUAGAGUUUCUGAACAACUAUUUCUACUUAGAGUUUUCAGAUAUCAUCCUGGGGGUGUCCUAGGAUGUCCAUCCAGUGGCUGGAUCCCUUUACAGACGCAGCCUUAGGGGUGGCUUGGCCACAGCUUUGUGUCUCUCUGCCAAACUCUUCUUGUUAUGCCAGUCCGUGAGGGCUGCCGGCGUGUGUACCAGGCAGGGGCCUCAUUAGCAGCUUUAACUGAUCAGUACAUCCAGUGCCUUCCCUUUGCUGCUCCUGAGACUUCCAGACACGCUGCUGCCUGGUUCUCCGGGAUGCUGGCCAGUGCUGCCCACCACUGUGGAUUCCAGCUCGGCUCCCCUGCGCUGCAUGUGCCCAGAUCACAUGGGCGUGAUUUCUGGCUGGGAGGUCUGUGUUCCUCAGAAGACACAGGUAUCCCUUUUAUCUUAUUUUAUUUUAAUUUAUCUUUAAAUCUCCAAGCCAUGCAAUUCUCGAGUGUUUGUCUCAGUGUGUUCUGUUGUGGAAGGGAAAGGACAGAUGCUACCUGAGCAGAAUUCUCAAGGAAUCACUGUACCAGCCGUUUCACAUACAUUAUCUCUUUUUUUUUUUGGUACUGGGGAUCGAACUCGGGUCCUUGCGCUUGUGCAGCAGGCGGCGAAACCACUGAGCUAAAUCCCCGGCCCACAUACAUUAUCUCUUAAUCACCACAGCAAUCCCAGAGAGAACGAUCCAACAGAAAGCCAUCUAUGCUUCAACAAUAAAUAUCAUUAGAAGCAGAGUAUGUUCCUGAGUAUGUUCCACUGGGGUUAGGUUGCCAAAUGAAAAUGAAGAAGAGACAGUUUCUAUUCUCAUGGAACAUGUAGUUCAAGGAAAUCACAAACAUUAUCAAAUAAUUCUGAGCACCAGGACUAAUAAUUCCAGCUCUAAGGACACGAUCGGUGUCACCACUGCAGCAAGCAUGGGGUGUUACCCUGACCGCCAUGCUCAGGUACUCUGCCAAUGCCACCACUUGGAUUCCUCAGCUCUUCCCCCGAACGUCCUUCAUAACAAUAACAAAAGCCUAUUUCUCUUGAGGCAGCUGAGGUUUAGAGAAUUAAGUAACUAAGUUCCCCUUAGCAGAGAACCAAAGAAGAGAUUCUGUGUCAUACUGCAGGCUCAUAGUGGCUAUGGGCAGGGAGGGAGCAGAUUUCAUGGGUUCAGAGUUCAACUCUGCAGCUCACUGCUUGGUUCAUCCAGAAACAACUUCCUUGUGCCUCAGCUUGCUCCAUCUGUAGAUGGAGAUCACAGUAGUACCUGUCAGGGUUGUUAUUCCCAGGUUGCAGAUGAGAAACACAGCAGAGAGACGAGGUCUCAGGUCGUGGUCAGUGGGAAAGCUGGGGCUCAGGUCAAGUCUGGCCUUGGUAUUCAGCUUUCUAGAAGCUGGGUUAUUUUCCAGGCCAUCUGUACACUGAGGCUGUUCCUUGCUCCUUGGACAAUGGUGUCUGCUAUGGUUCAGCUGUAUUUGCCCUGUUAAAGCUCAGGUUGAAGUGUGGUUAUCAAAAAGGUGGUGGUGGAAGGUGGAGCCUGAAUGGGGACUCGUGUCUUUCUUCGGAGGCUGGAUUGGUCCUCAGAGGAAGGGAUUAGUUCCUGAACAGUGCUUUGUUACAAAGCGUAUGGAGCUGUUUGUCUCCUUCUCUCGCCUUUGUGCACCUGCCGUGUGACGCUGUCCACCACAUUAUGACGCAGAGCGUGAGGCCCUUGCCUGACCUUCAGCUUCCUUGAUUCCAGAACCACCAGAUAAAUAAACUUCUUCCUUUUGUAAGUUACCCAGUGUCUGGUGUUCUGUUACAGCAACAGAACACGAACUAAGAAUGCCAAGCAGAGUAAAAUGUCUCCUGAGAGAUGUCACUGGCCUCUACCAUUUACUAUCUUGCUCUAGACACACUUGUAGAGCAUAUUCUAGAACACUAUUCAUGGGAUUAGUCCAUAAAGAGGAACGUGCUUACAUAUAGGCCAGGUGUGUAAAUAUGUUUGGUUAUUGCUUGUGGUGCUGAGGUUCAACCCAGCCCCUCAUGCAUGCCAAGCACAUGCUCAAGCCACUGCACUCAGCCCCUGUCCCCUGCAGAGGGUAAGUACAGACCAGCCAGUAGUGGUCAGGGAAAAACUGAAGCUCCACAGCCCUUCCCAGCAGAGAAGGGCCUGAGCCCACCUGCAGGUGUGCCUGGGUGUGCAUUGGUUUGGGGUGGGUCAUUUCUUUUGGGGAAGGGGCUUCCCUUUAAGAUGAAAGAGAUCUCUUUCCAGCAGAGAUGAAAAAGAGGAAGGCAGCUCUAUGCAAAUGGUCCAGGGUGAGAAAUGUCAGACUCUGUCGCGGGGUCUGUCUUGUGCAAUGGUGUUUGCAAAUCUCAAGGCCAGACGUUUGUCCCCGUGAGGAUGUCUGCAUUCAGUGACCCUUGUGUUUCUUCUGGGGCAGGUACACGCACACGUGCACACAGGCGCACACACGGUGCUGUGCUGGGCUCCUUGCCAGCAUAUUUCUGCCUCUGCUCCAGGGCCAGCUGAUCACCCCCGUUAACAUCUUCCUGCAGACAGGACAGGCAGCCUCACAGCCGGUCCUUACCUGGGGCAGGUGGCUCCAGAACAGCUCCUCCCCUCUCCACCCUCAGCCACAACCCUACUAGGAUCAAACAUGUUUUCCUCUUACUCAGACGUGCACCUUCUUCCUUGGCCUCUUGCUUUCUCCGGUACAGAUUUAUGAGGAGGAUGCGUGGAAAAGCCCCGCUCCUCAGCUGCUCCUGGCACAAGACAUCUGAUGGUUUGCAUUCCAGCCUGCUCCCCACGCUGUACACCACAGGGUUGUGCACACAUCGACACAUGGACAUCCACCGUUUGUCUCUUUGAACCAAGCCACCACUAAAAGUCUCUCCACACUGACCAUUUCCUUUCACCGCUCAGUAUCGUUCUGCGAUUUUACUUGGGCUUCUUCAAUGAAACUCCACAUUCCCCUGUCUCCUUGCCUUCCCAUCUUCCCCACCAAAUCCAUUCCCACAGUGCUCUCCCUCAAAUACAAAUCUGAUCUUUUAAGUCCCUUUCCAGCUAUUAACGCCCCCCUGCUAUCUCUGCGACUGAGAAUCGGGUCUGGCUCAUGGUGGAUAUUUAGUAGAAAUUUCUGGAAUUAAAUAGCC
RNAcentral lists this long non-coding RNA (13807 nucleotides) under Heterocephalus glaber (naked mole-rat). RNAcentral's name for it is "lncRNA (ENSHGLG00000038828.1)". The record is from RNAcentral. Lineage: Eukaryota; Metazoa; Chordata; Mammalia; Rodentia; Bathyergidae.